RNAcentral lists this long non-coding RNA (1289 nucleotides) under Ananas comosus (pineapple). RNAcentral's name for it is "long non-coding RNA (ACOM_LNC007391)". Lineage: Eukaryota; Viridiplantae; Streptophyta; Magnoliopsida; Poales; Bromeliaceae. The record is from RNAcentral.
AAAUUUAAAAUUUGAAGUUUAAAAUUUGAUAUUUGAAAUUUAAAAUUUAAAUUUUGAAUUUUGAAAACUAAAAUUUAAAAUGAAAUUUGAAAUUCUAAAUUUGAAAUUUAAAAUUUAAAAUUUAAAAAUUAAAUUUGAAAAUAAAAAAUUUAGAAUUAAAAUUUGAAAUUAUAAAUUAAAAAAAUUAAAAUUUGAAAUUUAUUAUUUGUAAACUAAAAUUUAAAAUUUGAUAUUCAAAAAUUAAAAUUUGAAUUUAUAAAAUAAAAAAAUUAAAAUUUAAAAUUUGACAUUUAAAUUUUGAAAUUAUAAAAUUUAAUUUUUGAUAUUUCAAAUUUAAAAUUCAAAUUUUAAAUUUGAAAUUAAAAUUUUGAAUAUAAAUUAAAUUGUAAAAUUUAAAAUUUGAAAUCUUUGUUGAAAUUUAAAAUUUCAUGUUGAAAUUUAAAAGUUAGAACUUGAUGCAUCUUUGCCCAAGAAUGGUGGAAUUUUUUUCCUUUGGUUAGAGUGGAUUAUAAUUUUACUCUAUUUUUCGGAGUAUAGUUUAACUAUACUCCAAAAAUUACGGUAUAUAGGAUAAAUUUUCUACAGGUGUAGUAUAGUUUAACUAUGCUACAUUUUUAAGAGUAUCCAAACGGAGCCUAAGUCUACAGUAAGAUAUGCAAAGGAUAGUAAGAAAAGCUGGAAAGAACUCUACAGCUACAUGCCACUAUACUAUCGCUAACCAAUACAGGCUAUAUGUAGACAUAGACAUACAUCACACUGACCUAAUCUCAGCAGCGCUGCCCAAACGGACCCACCCUUCUUGUAGGCAAGCUACACCGUACACCACCCACGGAGUUGGCCGGUCCAAGUACACUGUCAAAACAGGACUGCUGCGACAUCAAUGCAAGUAAAGCCUCAUUCCGGAGCGGCACUCGUGGGAGCUGUUAGUUGUAUGCCCUAGAAGCCUAUCAGGCUAACGCAUUUUGUUUUCUAUGGGACAUAUAUUUGUACUUAAUCUUUAUUAUUUAUAUAAUUGGGCAUUUUAUUCCAUUCAUGUUUAAUGUGUCCGUGAAUCGUCUUUUGAAUUAAUAAGAUGAUAAUAUGUAUUCUCAAGAGUUGAGAAUUUGAGAUACAUAUUAUUGGUGAUUAAUUCAUAAAUGCUCUCAAUCGGAGAAUCAUUAUGGGGACGAUGAUUGAUCCGGUAAGAUUGAUGUGUGUGCCGCUUCUCUUUUGGGAUGACGAAUCUCAAGUCAUCAGUGUGGGGACACUGGAACGAAUAUGCAUGUGGUUGUUGGAGAACAAUGGUACUG